This 374-nucleotide unclassified non-coding RNA is filed under the name soil metagenome. Its description in RNAcentral is "partial contains internal transcribed spacer 2 and large subunit ribosomal RNA". The stretch from base 1 to 120 matches the Rfam family "5.8S ribosomal RNA", at positions 35 to 154 of the family's 154-position model. The record is from RNAcentral.
GAUGAAGAACGUAGCGAAAUGCGAUAAUUAAUGUGAAUUGCAGAAUUCCGUGAAUCAUCGAGUCUUUGAACGCACAUUGCGCCUCAUGGCAUUCCGUGAGGCAUGCCCAUCUCAGCGUUAGAAAAUAUUCUCAAAUUUUAGUUUUGUGCUAAAAUUUGGAUCAUGUCAAGGAAGCUGUUACUAUUAUUGUGAUCGCUCUUUGGAAAUUGAUAGGUCUUUGAGUUGCUACUCAUAGAACGUGAUGAAUCUUUCUUCGUUCUAUUGUAAUUCACUCUGGUAGUCCUAAAACUUGUAUGCCUGUGGCAUAUCUUGUAAUUUGACCUGAGAUUGGGUAGGGAUACCCGCUGAACUUAAGCAUAUCAAUAAGCGGAGGA